RNAcentral lists this ribosomal RNA (447 nucleotides) under Hydroporus umbrosus. RNAcentral describes it as "SSU rRNA". It matches the Rfam family "Eukaryotic small subunit ribosomal RNA", at positions 181 to 601 of the family's 1831-position model. The record is from RNAcentral. Lineage: Eukaryota; Metazoa; Arthropoda; Insecta; Coleoptera; Dytiscidae.
CUCCGACCGGAGACGGGANGAGUGCUUUUAUUAGAUCAAAACCAAUCGGCGGCGGGCGCGCUCGCGCGUCCGUUCGCCGCUCAACCUGGUGACUCUGAAUAACUUUCGGCUGAUCGCACGGUCUCGCACCGGCGACGCAUCUUUCAAAUGUCUGCCUUAUCAACUGUCGAUGGUAGGUUCUGCGCCUACCAUGGUCGUAACGGGUAACGGGGAAUCAGGGUUCGAUUCCGGAGAGGGAGCCUGAGAAACGGCUACCACAUCCAAGGAAGGCAGCAAGCGCGCAAAUUACCCACUCCCGGCACGGGGAGGUAGUGACGAAAAAUAACGAUACGGGACUCAUCCGAGGCCCCGUAAUCGGAAUGAGUACACUUUAAACCCUUUAACAAGGACCCAUUGGAGGGCAAGUCUGGUGCCAGCAGCCGCGGUAAUUCCAGCUCCAAUAGCGUA